Triticum dicoccoides is the source of this 2905-nucleotide long non-coding RNA. RefSeq lists it as uncharacterized. NCBI's taxonomy places the organism in Eukaryota, Viridiplantae, Streptophyta, Magnoliopsida, Poales, Poaceae. The transcript is spliced from 6 exons. The record is from RefSeq and is a predicted model, not a curated record.
CGCGUGCGCCUCCCCACCAUACGUAUUAACUUUUGUCAAAAUCGGUUGUCAGAUACUCAGAUCUGGGGGGGCGCCUAUCUUCUCGCUGCCUGGAUCCGAAACCCUAGCCGCCUCUCUCUCUCUCUCUCUCUCCUGCAGAUCUCCUACCACUACCUCCUUCCAACCGCUCUCCUCAGAUCCAUGGCUUCACUCUUCCUUCCAACAGCCUGCCACCGUGGUCCGCUGGCGAGAUGGAUCUAGCCCGCCGGGUUGAGACGCAGGCCCGCUGGCCGGACGGCAGCAACGUGCGUCCCCUCACCCGGUCCAUAUCCACAACUACUCCAGAUGGGAAACAGCACGGUGGCGACCGGGCCGCUCCCGGAGACUCUCACGGCGGCCGGCGUGCGAGCGUGUGCGCCUGUUCCUCUGAUGGGUGGGUUGGAUCUCUAUUUUAUGUUAUUAUUACAGAUGAUUUGCAUAAGGAAAACGAACAGAGAGUUUUUUUUUAAAAUCUUCUGUAUAUCACCGGAGGACAAAGCAAAAAGAGAAUCGUUGUUCAGAAGAUUCACCGGAGUACGGUUUUUAGGGUGUUUGGAUCCGUGGGAAUUUUUCCUAAAAGGAUGUGAAACUCUUUGGGAUUUUCCCCAAGAAUUCAUGCAGUCUAUUAUUUUUGAAGAUUUUUUUUCUCAAACCUCUUCUUGCAAUUCCUUUACUUUUGGUGGUGUAUAAUACACUCUUUGAUGACGUCUUUUUUUUGCCACGCCCCUUAGUACCACUUAUAUAGGUCCUGAUACAGAGAUGUAACAAUCCAAAGUACAUUUUAUUAGCCUAGCUCUGUCGCUAAGCCUUUUGAUCCUAGCACUUACCAUUCUUUAGUGUUUGUUAGUCCACUCUUCGCCAGUGCUAAGGUGAUAUGAGGGUAUGUACUAAGAUUAAAAAACUUAGUGCCGCUACCCAGCUUAGUGUUCAAUGCUAUGCUAGAUUAAUCUUAAUUAGUUUAUGGUCAUCCGUUUUAGUUAAAUUCAUAAAUUGAUAGUUUUAAAGUCUAGCUCCUAUGAUGCCAAGGUAAAUUGAAAGAGAAUAUUAAUUUAUUCAUCUUAGCUUCUAUUGUGUCGGUGGUAGAGAUGUGGAAGCUCCACUCGCUAAAGAGACGCUCGGUGAUGGAGUAAUCUAGCUAGCAUUUGUGUUAGUGAAUGGAGGAUAGAUGCUUGCAUGCUAGUAAGAGUUCAGGGCCUCUCUCGCUCAAAUCAUUGUAGUAUGAAACGUUUCUUUCUUUGUUGCAUCUUUUUGGUUCAGGAAUGAAGAAAAAGAAAAAAACCCAAAGAAGUUUCCUUUUGCCUAUGUCCCAAAGGGAAAUUAAAUAGAAAUUCAACAUCUAGUACUCCAUUUGACUUUUAAAGCGUAACAACAUUUGAGUCAUACUUUUGGUUGUGAUUCUUGUUGCUUCGAUUCGAUUUGACUUUUUUUUGAAGUGUAACAACAUUUGAGUCAUACUUUUGGUUGUGAUUCUUGUUGCUUUGAUUCGAUUUGACUUUUUUUUGAAGUGUAACAACAUUUGAGUCAUACUUUUGGUUGUGAUUCUUUUUUCUUUGAUUUGAUUCGACUUUUUUUAGCUUAUGAACAUUCAAGUAAGAUUGUGUUUCUUUGAUUUGACUUUUUUGUUAUUAAUUUUGUGUGUGCUUCUAUUAGGAUUUUAAUGACUUUUUUAAUCAAGUGAACCAAACACAUAAUAGGUUGACAAACUUGAUGUAUCUAAUAAUGGUUUUGCAGUCGUGGUUCUAUCAGAUUGGUGCAUUUUCAAACCAUCCAUUUGUUUGUGAGGUUUAUUUGUUUUUAAAGUAUGUGCUCAUCUUUUGGGGAUGUGCGCACAUAGAGUGAGUGGUUCACAUGUGUACUAGUAGGGUCGGCCUGUCUCCAUUUUCAUUUUGGUAGCAGUCGUGUUGCAGCCAAAGCUGUCCACUCGAAAUGAAUGAAUGGAGGCUGUCCACUCGUUCUCUCUCUCUCUCUGGAAAGAUCCAUCCAAUCCACGGACAUAUUUUGUACUCCCUCCGUCCGAAAAUAAACGUCUCAAGCUUAGUGUAACUUUGUACUAAAGUUAAUACAAAGAUGAGACACUUAUUUUGGGAUGGAGAGAGUACUACUUACUAGGCUAGCAAUAGUUUUUUCUUCUGCUGUUUCCUUGCUGUACGAGUAUUCAUUCAUGCUUGUUCUUGAGGUAAGGAAAGACCUUGGAUUCCUUGGCCUGUUCUCAGAUGAUGAUGUUGCUCUCUAUACAAUUGUUUGUUGAGGCACGUAGGCCACCCCCACCGCUCUGGAUUUGCUCGUGACAGACAGGCCGUCUGCUGCUGCAUUUGAUUUCUUGCUUGUGAAGGUUUCUAGAUCCUGAUGCAUAGUCAACUUGAUCGUGACCGAUGAACUCUCGGCGUGUCGACGACCCAUGACCUCGGCAAAAUGGAUUUGCUGGUGACAAGAAGCCGUAUGCUGCUGCUGCAUUUGAUGUCUUGUGAAGGUGUCGAUCCUGAUCCAUACGGAGCUUUGAUUAGACACAUGCACUCCUGGCAUAUGUAGGUGACCUGCAACUCCGCGACAUGGAUUUGCUAGUGCCACAACAUAUGGUGUCUUGUGUUUUACGACCCAUGGUCUCUAGACGCGUUCUUCUGCAUGUUACAGCUGCUUCCUGCAAGCACCAGAAAGAAAGACAAAGUUUUAUGACUAACUAGGCGCAUCUCUCAAGAUGUCAGUCACAAUUUAUCUUAUCCUACCGGAAGGACAUGACUUCUUUUCCAAAAACUGAGCUGCUGGAGUUUUGAAGUGUAAACUGAGAUGUACAUUUCGACUGAUGUUCCUUGUAAAAUGGGGGCUGCUGCAAAACAGUAGUAUGAAUGCUGGCACAUGCAUAUGUUAAUCACAUCAAUUAUUUGUUUGA